GACGAACGCUGGCGGCGUGCUUAACACAUGCAAGUCGAGCGAGGCCCUCCUCUUCGGAGGAGGUGUCCUAGCGGCGAACGGGUGAGUAACACGUGGGCAACCUGCCCUCAGCAUCGGGAUAACCCCGGGAAACCGGAGCUAAUACCGGAUACGACCUUUGCGGGCAUCCGCGAAGGUGGAAAGUGUCAGCGGCUGAGGAUGGGCCCGCGGCCUAUCAGCUUGUUGGUGGGGUAACGGCCACCAAGGCGACGACGGGUAGCCGGCCUGAGAGGGCGACCGGCCACACUGGGACUGAGACACGGCCCAGACUCCUACGGGAGGC
This 322-nucleotide ribosomal RNA is filed under the name uncultured bacterium. Its description in RNAcentral is "bacterial SSU rRNA". It matches the Rfam family "Bacterial small subunit ribosomal RNA", at positions 28 to 349 of the family's 1533-position model. The record is from RNAcentral.